Molecule: non-coding RNA, 801 nt
Organism: Zonotrichia albicollis (white-throated sparrow)
Lineage: Eukaryota; Metazoa; Chordata; Aves; Passeriformes; Passerellidae
Source: RefSeq, a predicted model, not a curated record
AAUCACUGGAUUAAGGCUGGGAAGGAACCUGAAUCAAGUUUGGAAAAGAACCUGACUCAGGUUUGGAGAAGAAUCCCCAAAUUAGGGUUGGAAAAGAACGACCCAAUCAAGGUGGGAGAAGAAAAACCAAAUUAAGGUUGGAAAAGAACUCUGGGAUCAAGGCUGGGAAGGAACGACCAAGUCAGGGCUGGGAAGGAGCUGCAGGACAUCAAACCCAACCCCGCUGAGCUGAAGGUUCACCCCGAGCUCUCCCCGCACCGAUUCCCCAAACGAUCCCCGCUCCCUCCCCGAACCCACCCGGUGCUCUGGGGAGGUUUCCCCUCUGGAAAGGAGGAUUCGGCCCCGGGGGAAGGGGGCAGAGCCAGCCCGGGCCGUGUGGGGGCACAGGGGCUGCCAAGCGCUCCCUGCCAUGCACAAGCCGGGGACGGGGUCUAUGUACAGCAACAGGAGCCUCCCCAGCCCCAGCGCCAGGGCUGGGCGGCUGCUGGGACAGAAUCACAGUUUUGGAUGCACCGAGGGUUUAUUCCUGCUCUUCCCCAUUGUAUUGGCAAAUGCAACAGUCUAGCUUGGGAAUGGGGGGGAUUCCUUAUGGAGAUAGAAAAACAGAGGGAGGGGGUCAGGAGGGAGGGCGGGACAGUCACCCCUGGAGACACCAGACAGCUCCACCACCACUGCAGUCAAACUAAUUAUAGCAAUUAACACCAUUUCCUCCUUGAGUUUUUUGUUUUUCCUAAGUGAUGGUUUUCCCUUUCUGCUCCCACCCGAGGGGAGGGAGCCCCAGACACUGGAAUGAGCACAGGG